AGAGUUUGAUCAUGGCUCAGGACGAACGCCGGCGGUGUGCCUAAUACAUGCAAGUCGUACGCACUGGCCCAACUGAUUGAUGGUGCUUGCACCUGAUUGACGAUGGAUCACCAGUGAGUGGCGGACGGGUGAGUAACACGUAGGUAACCUGCCCCGCGG
This 159-nucleotide ribosomal RNA is filed under the name uncultured bacterium. Its description in RNAcentral is "partial 16S ribosomal RNA". It matches the Rfam family "Bacterial small subunit ribosomal RNA", at positions 8 to 136 of the family's 1533-position model. The record is from RNAcentral.